AUCCAACUGAUGAGUCCCAAAUAGGACGAAACGCGCACCAAACUGGAU
Molecule: non-coding RNA, 48 nt
Filed under: Schistosoma mansoni
Lineage: Eukaryota; Metazoa; Platyhelminthes; Trematoda; Strigeidida; Schistosomatidae
Source: RNAcentral